UACGGAGGGUGCAAGCGUUAUCCGGAUUCACUGGGUUUAAAGGGUGCGUAGGCGGGCAGGUAAGUCCGUGGUGAAAUCUCCGGGCUUAACCCGGAAACUGCCGUUGAUACUAUUAGUCUUGAAUUCGGUUGAGGUUGGCGGAAUGUGUCGUGUAGCGGUGAAAUGCUUAGAUAUGACACAGAACACCGAUUGCGAAGGCAGCUAGCUAAUCCGACAUUGACGCUGAGGCACGAAAGCGUGGGGAUCAAACAGG
This 253-nucleotide ribosomal RNA is filed under the name uncultured bacterium. Its description in RNAcentral is "partial 16S ribosomal RNA". It matches the Rfam family "Bacterial small subunit ribosomal RNA", at positions 524 to 776 of the family's 1533-position model. The record is from RNAcentral.